Molecule: transfer RNA, 72 nt
Filed under: uncultured Clostridium sp.
Lineage: Bacteria; Bacillati; Bacillota; Clostridia; Eubacteriales; Clostridiaceae
Description: tRNA-Trp(cca)
Rfam family: tRNA
About the family: Transfer RNA (tRNA) molecules are approximately 80 nucleotides in length. Their secondary structure includes four short double-helical elements and three loops (D, anti-codon, and T loops). Further hydrogen bonds mediate the characteristic L-shaped molecular structure. tRNAs have two regions of fundamental functional importance: the anti-codon, which is responsible for specific mRNA codon recognition, and the 3' end, to which the tRNAs corresponding amino acid is attached (by aminoacyl-tRNA synthetases). tRNAs cope with the degeneracy of the genetic code in two manners: having more than one tRNA (with a specific anti-codon) for a particular amino acid; and 'wobble' base-pairing, i.e. permitting non-standard base-pairing at the 3rd anti-codon position.
Source: RNAcentral
AGGGGCAUAGUUCAACGGUAGAACAGCGGUCUCCAAAACCGUCGAUGUGGGUUCGAUUCCUACUGCCCCUGC